This is a long non-coding RNA of Puntigrus tetrazona (Sumatra barb), 806 nucleotides long. RefSeq lists it as uncharacterized. The record is from RefSeq and is a predicted model, not a curated record. NCBI's taxonomy places the organism in Eukaryota, Metazoa, Chordata, Actinopteri, Cypriniformes, Cyprinidae. The transcript has 4 exons.
CAGAUCAAGACGAGCGUUUAGCAAUGUUUCCAUUAAAAAAAAUCUAAACUUCAAAGACCUUUAGCGUUUGAAAAGAAUGCGCUAAAUUUUACAGAUAAUGAGAAAACAAAUGUGAGAGAACGCAUUUAGGCAUGCCGUUUUACUUUGACUCGUGUUUGCUGCACCAGGAAAUGACCUACAGUUCCUCCGAUCAGUUCUCUCAGAUGCAUCGCUGCUGUGUCAUAAAACGCUCUCCACAGUUUGUCUUCUAAUAUUUACCAGAAGAAAGACAGUCGUGUAGGUUUAGAACGAAAAGCGAGGUUUUGACAGCACUGAAGGUGUCUGGGUCUUCUACUUUACGUCAGGUGGAGAUACAUCACGUAUAUAAUAAAAUGGCAUCCAAAUGAAAACAGAUUGUGAGGCCAACCAUGCAGCACCUUGGGCCUCCAUUACUGGGUUGGCUUGCUGAGCGCAGAAGACGGAUGAGACUAUUCAUUUUCAGUGCCGAACGGCCUCACUGCGUAAGUGGAGCAUGCAGCAAAUGCAUGCUGCUGAACACAGCCUCAACAUCAGCCAGUUUUACUGAAAUUUUGUGCUGUAAUGAGUGUUAGAAGAAAUAAUGGCAUGAAUAGGAAGGUUUGUUGCAUAUGUUGUUUUUUGGCACUGGGCACUGUUGCACCAGCUGUGUUCUAGGUUAAAAUGUAGCCUGUUGUGGAAUAAUGGGUUCCUGCAAAAAUUUGAGCACCGCAUCAUUAAACUUAGUAGAAUUGUAACUGCGUAUGAACUGAAUGUUUAUGGAAGCCUCGUAAGAAGUAACAGUUGGAAUA